Molecule: long non-coding RNA, 474 nt
Filed under: Homo sapiens (human)
Lineage: Eukaryota; Metazoa; Chordata; Mammalia; Primates; Hominidae
Description: non-protein coding lnc-MUC20-2:13
Source: RNAcentral
AUGAAGGUUGACCUGUGCAGUUUCAGCAGGUACAAGAUCUACCCCGGACACGGGAGGCGCCACGCCAGGACCGACGGGAGGGUUUUCCAGUUUCUUAAUUCAAAAUGCAAGUUGGCGUUCCUUUCCAAGAGGAAUCCUCCGCAGAUAAACUGGACUGUCCUCUACAGAAGGAAGCACAAAAAGGGGCAGUCGGAGUAAAUUCAAAAGAAAAGAACCCACCGAGCAGUCAAAUUCCAGAAGACCAUUACGGUGUAUCUCUUGCUGCUAUAAUGGCCAAGAGGAAUCAGAAACCCGAAGUUAGAAAGGCUCAAAGAGAACAAGCUAUCAGGGCUGCUAAGGAAGCAAAAAAUGGCUAAGCAAGCAUCUAAAAAGACUGCAAGGGCUGCUGCUACGGCACCUACAAAGGCAGCACCUGAGCAAAAGAUUGUGAAGCCUGUGGAAGUUUCAGCUCCCCGAGUUGGUGGAAAACACUAA